Molecule: ribosomal RNA, 274 nt
Filed under: uncultured bacterium
Lineage: Bacteria
Description: partial 16S ribosomal RNA
Rfam family: Bacterial small subunit ribosomal RNA
Source: RNAcentral
AGACGGAGGGGGCUAGCGUUGUUCGGAAUUACUGGGCGUAAAGCGCGCGUAGGCGGAUUGAUCAGUCAGAGGUGAAAUCCCAGGGCUCAACCCUGGAACUGCCUUUGAUACUGUCAGUCUUGAGUUCGAGAGAGGUGAGUGGAAUUCCGAGUGUAGAGGUGAAAUUCGUAGAUAUUCGGAGGAACACCAGUGGCGAAGGCGGCUCACUGGCUCGAUACUGACGCUGAGGUGCGAAAGCGUGGGGAGCAAACAGGAUUAGAAACCCCGGUAGUCC